RNAcentral lists this ribosomal RNA (439 nucleotides) under uncultured bacterium. RNAcentral describes it as "bacterial SSU rRNA". It matches the Rfam family "Bacterial small subunit ribosomal RNA", at positions 340 to 774 of the family's 1533-position model. The record is from RNAcentral.
UACGGAAGGCAGCAGGGGGAAUAUUGCACAAUGGGCGCAAGCCUGAUGCAGCCAUGCCGCGUGUAUGAAGAAGGCCUUCGGGUUGUAAAGUACUUUCAGCGGGGAGGAAGGCGAUGUGGUUAAUAACCGCAUCGAUUGACGUUACCCGCAGAAGAAGCACCGGCUAACUCCGUGCCAGCAGCCGCGGUAAUACGGAGGGUGCAAGCGUUAAUCGGAAUUACUGGGCGUAAAGCGCACGCAGGCGGUCUGUCAAGUCGGAUGUGAAAUCCCCGGGCUUAACCUGGGAACUGCAUUCGAAACUGGCAGGCUAGAGUCUUGUAGAGGGGGUAGAAUUCCAGGUGUAGCGGUGAAAUGCGUAGAGAUCUGGAGGAAUCCGGUGGCGAAGGCGGCCCCUGGGACAAGACUGACGCUCAGGGUGCGAAAGCGUGGGGAGCAAACG